AACAGGAUUAGAUACCCUGGUAGUCCACGCCGUAAACGAUGGGUACUAGGUGUAGGGGGUAUCGACUCCCUCUGUGCCGCAGUUAACACAAUAAGUACCCCGCCUGGGGAGUACGGUCGCAAGAUUAAAACUCAAAGGAAUUGACGGGGACCCGCACAAGCAGCGGAGCAUGUGGUUUAAUUCGAAGCAACGCGAAGAACCUUACCUAGACUUGACAUCCCCUGCAUAACCUAGAGAUAGGCGAAGUCCUUCGGGACAGGGUGACAGGUGGUGCAUGGUUGUCGUCAGCUCGUGUCGUGAGAUGUUGGGUUAAGUCCCGCAACGAGCGCAACCCUUAUCAUUAGUUGCUACCAUUUAGUUGAGCACUCUAAUGAGACUGCCCGGGUUAACCGGGAGGAAGGUGGGGAUGACGUCAAAUCAUCAUGCCCCUUAUGUCUAGGGCUACACACGUGCUACAAUGGGCAGUACAGUGAGAUGCAAACUCGUGAGGGUGAGCCAAACUAUAAAACUGUUCCCAGUUCGGAUUGUAGGCUGCAACUCGCCUGCAUGAAGCCGGAGUUGCUAGUAAUCGCGAAUCAGCAUGUCGCGGUGAAUACGUUCCCGGGUCUUGUACACACCGCCCGUCACACCAUGAGAGUUAGCAAUACCCGAAGUCCGUGAGGUAACCGUAAGGAGCCAGCGGCCGAAGGUAGGGUUAGCGAUUGGGGUGAAGUCGUAACAAGGUAACC
This 728-nucleotide ribosomal RNA is filed under the name uncultured bacterium. RNAcentral's name for it is "bacterial SSU rRNA". It matches the Rfam family "Bacterial small subunit ribosomal RNA", at positions 771 to 1501 of the family's 1533-position model. The record is from RNAcentral.